This 484-nucleotide ribosomal RNA is filed under the name uncultured bacterium. RNAcentral's name for it is "partial 16S ribosomal RNA". It matches the Rfam family "Bacterial small subunit ribosomal RNA", at positions 30 to 507 of the family's 1533-position model. The record is from RNAcentral.
AUUGAACGCUGGCGGCAGGCCUAACACAUGCAAGUCGAGCGGAUGAAGGGAGCUUGCUCCUGGAUUCAGCGGCGGACGGGUGAGUAAUGCCUAGGAAUCUGCCUGGUAGUGGGGGAUAACGUCCGGAAACGGGCGCUAAUACCGCAUACGUCCUGAGGGAGAAAGUGGGGGAUCUUCGGACCUCACGCUAUCAGAUGAGCCUAGGUCGGAUUAGCUAGUUGGUGGGGUAAAGGCCUACCAAGGCGACGAUCCGUAACUGGUCUGAGAGGAUGAUCAGUCAAACUGGAAAUGAGACACGGUCCAGACUCCUACGGGAGGCAGGAGUGGGGAAUAUUGGACAAUGGGCGAAAGCCUGAUCCAGCCAUGCCGCGUGUGUGAAGAAGGUCUUCGGAUUGUAAAGCACUUUAAGUUGGGAGGAAGGGCAGUAAGUUAAUACCUUGCUGUUUUGACGUUACCAACAGAAUAAGCACCGGCUAACUUCGUG